GAAUAUUCUGGUGUUCCUAUAGAUCAGGUUUUGCUGAUUUGGGAAAAUAAAGACUAUGGAUCAACUAGGAAUACUGUUCAUAUUAAUGAGAAAAUGCUUCUGUUAGAACCUUGUUGAAGGCACAAUUUUGAGUUGAUCCAGUUCUUGAACUCUGUAGACUCUGAUAAUUCUGAAUCUGUUGUUUUGUCUUUUGCUGAUAUUUUGUGUGUGGCAAAUGUCGAGGAAGCCAGUUUUCUCAGAUUUCAAAAUAGUAUAUGGAAAAAUGAAGAGAAAAUGCAAUGUGUCCAUCCUUUGCAACUAGUUUGGGAUCCAGUGUCAUCUGCUCUAAAACACAACAAACCAGUGAAAAAUGAUCUGCUUGUAAAUGAAGCUGCAAUUAAAAAAAAAAUAGGUGCCCUUGAAGAUGAGCUAACUUUUCUUCACUCUCAGAUUCCUGCAAUUUUGGAAAUGCAGGAACUGAAAAACAGUACAAAUUCUAGUUCCUUUGGCUUGAAUGAUGGGCCCAUUAGUUUGGGACAAAUGCCAUCAUCACGGGCUGUUCAGCUGAGUGGGGAGUCACACAUAUAUAUUUGUUCUUUACUACAUUUAUACUCUGUUCCUUUGUAGAGUGUAUAAUAAGCCUUAACAUAAUAAAAAUCAGUUUCCAAGUUCAAUGCUUUCUUCUCCUCCUCCACUACCACUUCCUCCUCAGUUUUCUUCUCUCUAGCUUCCAUGUUUUCUUCCCAUACAACUAGGAUCUAAUAAUAUUUGUGACUCAGAUAAUCCAGCUACUGAAAUGAACAAACAGCACCCAGGUGCUAGUAUAGUCAUCAUCCAAAAAGCCACAGAAAUAAAGAUGUUCUAAACAUGUUGGAUGUUCUAGAGGACAUAAAUAAAGUGAAGCUCUGUGCAAUUGAACAGUCACCUGGUGGCAGAUCCAUUCAUAAGAGGAAAAUAAAAAAUUCAUAUUGGGAUCCGAUGUCUUUAACGUCUCAUGCACUUAAGCAGAAAUUUGCAUUUCAAAAAGAUGAUUCAUUUGAGAAAGAAAAUAGAUCUUAGGAGCCUUCUCCAUUUUCUUGUCCAGAAACUUCAACAUUUGGACAUCACAUUUCUCAGUCAGAAGGACAGUGAACUAAGGAAGAACUGAUAAGCACAAAGGCUGUUGACCAAGGUAUCAGCAACAAAAGC
This 1167-nucleotide long non-coding RNA is filed under the name Homo sapiens (human). Its description in RNAcentral is "non-protein coding lnc-CACNA1I-1:1". Lineage: Eukaryota; Metazoa; Chordata; Mammalia; Primates; Hominidae. The record is from RNAcentral.